Non-coding RNA from Toxotes jaculatrix (banded archerfish), 557 nucleotides. The record is from the annotation of a RefSeq genome assembly. NCBI's taxonomy places the organism in Eukaryota, Metazoa, Chordata, Actinopteri, Toxotidae.
CCAGCAGCACAAUGAUGAUGUCUCUGACUCUACUGCUGGCCACCCUGGGGCUCCUUGUUCAGGGUUCAUCAGGUGAUAUCACCGUGUCUCAGUCUCCUGAAUCUCAGUCUGUUGUUCCAGGUCAGACUGUCUCUAUCAGUUGUAAAGCCAGUAGAUCUAUAGGUGAUGACGUCAACUGGUACCUUCAGAAACCUGGGGAAGCUCCAAUACUCUUGAUUUAUGAUACUACAAAUCGCCAGUCUGGAGUUUCAGAUCAAUUUAGUGCAACAGCACAUCAGACUGACUUCACUCUGACCAUCAGUAGAGUCCAGGCUGAAGAUGCAGGAGUUUAUCACUGUCAGCAGAUAUCACUAGAGGUGGACUGGUACCUUCAGAAACCUGGAGAAGCUCCUAAACUCCUGAUUUAUCAUGCUACAAAUCGUCAGUCUGGAGUUUCAGAUCGUUUCAGUGAAAGUGGAUCUGGAACUGACUUCACUCUGACCAUCAGCAGAGUCCAGACUGAAGAUGCAGGAGUUUAUUAUUGUCAGCAGCAUAACAGCCGCCCGUUCACACAGUGA